UUCUUUAAACGCUGUGAAAAGGUUAUUAACUGGUUAAAACAAACUAUAGUUGGUACUACAUAAUCAAUCUCGAUCAAUUGGGGAUGGUGCAGCUAGGUUUAGACGAUGAGAUAGGCGAUUUCGAGAUCCAGACUUUCCCCGCCUCUGACGCUCCCUCACCGGCCAUCUAAGACACCACGCCGGCUCCAGGAUCACAAGGGAGACUAAGCUACACUCCUUGUGAUCCCUCUGUUCUUAUCGAUCUUCUUCUCGGCGAAUCUUGUCGUCCCACCCUCUGGCUCCCUAGCCAAGUAACCAAAUAUUCUCACAAUAUUUUCUUUCCGUUUUCAGCCGAGAGCCUCUCACCGUCCUCCACAAAACCCUAAAGCUAACCCCUAGCCC
This 381-nucleotide long non-coding RNA is filed under the name Brassica napus (rape). Its description in RNAcentral is "long non-coding RNA (BNAP_LNC019886)". Lineage: Eukaryota; Viridiplantae; Streptophyta; Magnoliopsida; Brassicales; Brassicaceae. The record is from RNAcentral.